Molecule: ribosomal RNA, 301 nt
Filed under: uncultured bacterium
Lineage: Bacteria
Description: partial 16S ribosomal RNA
Rfam family: Bacterial small subunit ribosomal RNA
Source: RNAcentral
CAGUAGCCACGGGAAUACGUAGGUGGCAAGCGUUGUCCGGAAUUAUUGGGCGUAAAGGGCUCGCAGGCGGUUUCUUAAGUCUGUUGUGAAAGCCCCCGGCUCAACCGGGGAGGGUCAUUGGAAACUGGGAAACUUGAGUGCAGAAGAGGAGAGUGGAAUUCCACGUGUAGCGGUGAAAUGCGUAGAGAUCGGAAAGAACACCAACGGCGAAAGCACUCUGUUGGGCCGACACUGACACUGAGAGACGAAAGCUAGGGGAGCAAAUGGGAUUAGAUACCCCUGUAGUCCCUGUCUCUUAUAA